CUUAGUUUUCUGAAUGUUGAGGGUUUUCCUUUUAAAAAAUUUAUUUAUUUUAAUUGGAGUAUAAUUACUUUAUAAUACCGUGGUGGUUUUUGCCACACAUCGACAUGAAUCAGCCACGGGUGCACAUGUGUCUCAGCUAUCCUGAACCCCUUCCCACCUUUCUC
Long non-coding RNA from Cervus elaphus (red deer), 164 nucleotides. RefSeq lists it as uncharacterized. The transcript has 3 exons. The record is from RefSeq and is a predicted model, not a curated record. Lineage: Eukaryota; Metazoa; Chordata; Mammalia; Artiodactyla; Cervidae.